UGAAUAUUUUUACGUAUUUUUUGGACAACUGAGCUAGAUGCAGUUUAAGUUUCAAAAUCGUCACUGUUUGCUGCCAGAACAAAUGAUAGAUGGAAAACAAAACACAACAAGACAAGUAGGGAAAAAAACAUCAAAAAUAUGGAAAAACAAAGGAUAGAUAAGGACCAAAAGACUUAGCUCUUGAAGAACCAAAGCUCUUGAUACCAAAUGAUGGCAACCUCCUUAAGCUAGGUUGGGCCAAAGCUUAAAAGGAUGCAAUGGAGGGGUGUUUCCUUGGAUGAAUGGUGCGGAAAUGUGGUGGUAAAUGGUCCAAGGAUGAUGAGAUAAUGUAUGAAUGGUGUAGAAGCUCAAAGCCUCUAGGAGAUAUGGUGGUGGUGAUGUAGUGUUUGGUGACUCCAAGAAAGGUUAGGCCCACUCAAGGAGGAAGGUGACUAGAGGGGCCUCAUGAGUUGCUCUAAUCUUGAUCUAAGAUGAGUAGUAUGGCCAAAAAUGGGCAGUAUAACAUUAGUCAACAUCAAAGAUGAAAU
RNAcentral lists this long non-coding RNA (527 nucleotides) under Vigna radiata. Its description in RNAcentral is "long non-coding RNA (VRAD_LNC008376)". The record is from RNAcentral. Lineage: Eukaryota; Viridiplantae; Streptophyta; Magnoliopsida; Fabales; Fabaceae.